RNA transcript from Malania oleifera, 4566 nucleotides. It is a transcript of the gene named protease Do-like 7, with no coding region annotated. The transcript has 25 exons. NCBI's taxonomy places the organism in Eukaryota, Viridiplantae, Streptophyta, Magnoliopsida, Santalales, Ximeniaceae. The record is from RefSeq and is a predicted model, not a curated record.
UACCGGCCAUCAUUUGACCUCAGAAGACUGUAGUUAAGACUGAAAAUUCAACCUUAAAUCCGCGGUCUCUCUCCCCAAGUUCCCCCCUCUUCCCUGCUAGCUCAUCGCCCACCUUUUUGCCCACAAUUUUUCCGUCGCCGAAAGUUCGAAGCGUCUCAGAUUUUUACUUCAAUACGUAAUACUGUAUACUUCUCUCUGAGAUCUCAUUUCCCUGCCCAUAUCCGUCGUAAAACCCUAGAGAAAUCUUCAAUGAUUGAUAAAAUCUUGCGCUUUGGACAGUGAUCUGGAGAUACAGAGAGAGAAUGGGAGAACCACUGGAGAGGUUGGGAUCAGAGGGAGCUGCAGGGCUGGAAUCGAGCAUGAAAGAGGGGCUGUGCAUGGAGAUCGAUCCGUCGUUCCGGGAAAAUGCUGCGACUGCUGAGGAUUGGAGGAAGGCUUUGAACAGGGUGGUACCUGCUGUGGUUGUGCUGCGGACUACCGCUUGUCGAGCAUUUGAUACUGAAGCCGCAGGUGCGAGCUAUGCCACUGGGUUUGUGAUUGAUAAGCGCCGCGGUAUCAUCCUCACCAAUCGCCAUGUGGUUAAGCCUGGACCGGUAGUUGCAGAGGCUAUGUUUGUGAAUCGUGAAGAAAUUCCUGUGUAUCCUAUAUAUAGGGAUCCGGUUCAUGAUUUUGGAUUUUUUCGUUAUGAUCCUGAUGGAAUACAAUUUCUGAGUUAUGAGGAGAUACCUCUUGCCCCUGAGGCUGCUUGCGUUGGACUAGAAAUCAGGGUGGUCGGUAAUGAUAGUGGGGAAAAGGUCUCUAUUCUAGCUGGUACACUUGCUCGUUUGGAUAGAGAUGCUCCUCAUUAUAAGAAGGAUGGUUACAACGACUUCAAUACAUUUUACAUGCAAGCUGCAUCUGGGACGAAAGGUGGUUCAAGUGGUUCCCCUGUAAUUGAUUGGCAAGGCAGGGCAGUGGCCUUGAAUGCUGGAAGCAAAUCAUCAAGUGCCUCUGCUUUUUUCCUACCUUUAGAGAGAGUUGUAAGAGCUUUAAGAUUUCUGCAGAAGGGCAAAGAUUCAUUUGUAAAUAAAUGGGAGGUGGUUACCAUACCUCGUGGUACGCUUCAGGCAACAUUUCUCCAUAAAGGAUAUGAUGAGACACGGCGCCUUGGUCUCCGAAGUGAAACAGAACAGGUUGUACGACAUGCAUCUCCAGUCGGGGAAACCGGAAUGCUUGUUGUUGAUUCUGUGGUGCCAGGUGGACCAGCUUAUAAGCACUUGGAGCCUGGUGAUGUUCUUGUUCGUGUUAAUGGGGAAGUAGUAACUCAGUUCCUGAAAUUGGAGAAACUCCUUGAUGACAGAGUUGGCCAAGAGAUUGAAUUACAGAUUGAAAGGGGUGGUACAUUGUUGACUGUAACCUUUGUGGUUCAGGAUUUACACUCAAUAACUCCUAAGUAUUUCUUGGAAAUAAGUGGUGCGGUGAUACACCCUCUUUCCUAUCAGCAGGCCAGAAAUUUCCGUUUCAACUGUGGUCUUGUAUAUGUUACAGAGCCUGGAUAUAUGCUUUUUAGAGCGGGAGUUCCUCGGCAUGCUAUCAUCAAGAAGUUUGCUGGUGAAGAGAUAUCCCGGCUUGAAGAACUAGUCUCUGUUUUAUGCAAGUUGCCUAGAGGUGCUCGAGUGCCAUUGGAAUAUAUAAGCUACAUGGAUCGGCAUAGAAGGAAGUCUGUUCUAGUCACGAUUGAUCGCCACGAAUGGUAUGCACCUCCUCAAAUAUACACUCGUGAUGACAGUACUGGUUUAUGGACAGCAAAGCCAGCUUUGCCACAUGACUCCCUACUACUAGCGCCUGUUGCUGAUUAUACUGGUGAAUGUUUAACAAGCCAAACACUUAUAUCAGGCACUACUGAGGCUAUUCUAAUGGAACAUGCACAUCAAGAUAACAACCAGGAGUUGGCUGAAGGUGUUACUAAUAUGGAAACAAACUGCGAACAUGUUUCUGGGGAACCACAUCCUCGGGAUGAUUCUGAUGCUGGAACAAAAAAAAGACGAGUGGAAGAGGAUUCAUCUGCAGAUGGGAUUGUUAUAUCUAAUUGUUCAUUAGAUGAGUCAAGGGAAAAAAGGUUGGAGGAUAUGAGAGCCAUGGACCACACAUAUUUAAGAGAUUAUCAGGGUGCAGCAGCAGCUAAUGCUUCCAUAGCUGAACGUGUGAUAGAGCCCACUCUUGUUAUGUUUGAGGUUCAUGUCCCCCCAUCAUGUAUGCUUGAUGGCGUCCACUCUCAGCAUUUCUUUGGGACUGGUGUCAUUGUAUAUCAUUCUUUGAGCAUGGGAUUGGUUGCUGUUGACAAAAACACAGUUGCAGUAUCUGUCUCAGAUGUCAUGCUAUCCUUCGCUGCUUUUCCGGUUGAGAUUCCUGGAGAGGUAGUUUUUCUUCAUCCUGUUCAUAAUUUUGCGAUUGUUGCUUAUGAUCCUUCUGCUUUGGGAGCUGUUGGUGCCUCAGUCGUUCGUGCUGCGGAACUUCUUCCUGAGCCUGCAUUGCGUCGUGGGGAUUCUGUCUAUCUUGUGGGAUUGAGUCGAAGCUUACAGGCAACAUCAAGGAAAUCCAUUGUCACCAACCCAUGUGCUGCUCUGAAUAUUAGCUCUGCUGAUUGUCCACGUUACAGAGCAACGAAUAUGGAAGUUAUUGAGCUGGAUACAGAUUUUGGAAGUACAUUUUCGGGGGUGCUGACUGAUGUACUUGGAAGGGUUCAAGCUAUCUGGGGAUGCUUCUUAACUCAGCUGAAAUAUGGUUGUAAUACUUCAGAAGAUCAUCAAUUUGUCAGAGGCAUCCCAAUUUACACCAUCAGCCAAGUGCUUGAUAAAAUCAUAUCUGGUGCGAAUGGACCCCCUCUAUUAAUAAAUGGUGUCAAAAGACCAAUGCCGCUUGUUAGAAUUAUGGAGGUUGAGCUCUAUCCUACUUUACUUUCGAAAGCUCGGAGUUUUGGACUUAGAGAUGAUUGGAUCCAAGCCCUUGUCAAGAAAGAUCCAAUUAGGCGUCAAGUUUUGCGUGUUAAAGUUUGUUUGGCUGGAUCAAAAGCUGAGAAUUUAUUAGAACAAGGUGACAUGGUCUUGGCAAUAAACAAAGACCCUAUUACAUGCUUCCAUGACAUAGAAAGUGCUUGUCAAGCAUUAGACAAAAAUGACGGCAAAGAUGGAAAGCUCAACCUGACUAUUUUCCGGCAGGGACGUGAAAUUGAACUUUUUGUGGGAACAGAUAUUAGGGAUGGUAAUGGCACGACGCGCAUGAUAAACUGGUGUGGAUGUAUUGUUCAGGAUCCUCACCUGGCAGUGCGAGCUCUCGGAUUUCUUCCUGAAGAAGGACAUGGUGUGUAUGUGGCAAGGUGGUGUCAUGGGAGUCCCGUACACAGAUAUGGGUUGUAUGCUCUUCAAUGGAUAGUUGAAGUUAAUGGAAAGCCAACUCCCAAUUUAGAUGCAUUUGUUGAUGUGACGAAGGAAACUCUAUAUGGACUGAUUUUGACAGGAUGGUCUUCCCACACUCAAGCAGCGAUAUUGGGACCUUGGCAAUGAUGUGAUCAGUGAUUAUUGCUGGUUUGAAUCAUUCAAUUCGAGCAUGUGAUUUAGUAUUAAUUGAAGUUCUCUUUUUAAUGCAUAUGAUGCACGUUGUAAUUGACACUGUUUGUAGGGAUGAGCUUGCAGCGUUCUCUCUAUGUCCGGUUUUGGUUGAACUAUUUUUAAUUCUUUUUGAAUUCUCUUCCCCAUGAUAUUUAAAUUUCACGUUAUCUGUGAUUGUGAUGCAUUGAUCUUUUGUAGUAUUUGCUUAGUUAUGAAAAUUUGUAGAUGCAGUAUACUCCCUCUCCACCCUUGGGUCAGGGCGGCUCAGGGCCAACAUUUCCAAACAGAUAAGAGGCGCCACCCCGGCUUAUGGUCCUGAAUGCCUUUUCAUUUUGGUUUAUUGUGUUCUAGUUUUGUUUUUAUUGUUAUUUUUAUUUUAAGACGACUGGUAGUCGGGGCUUUGGGACUUGCUUUUGUUUAAUUUCAACUGUUUUGGUAAGAACAGGAAUGUCAGGGCUUAUGGUGUGCGGCUGUUUUAUCCGUCCUGUAGGGAUAGAGAGAAACGCUUGGAUUUUUAGAAGUUGAUCAUACUGCUCUCAGCUUUUGUGGGAUGGAGCAACCUUCCUAGCGUCUUUGUGGGUGCACCCUUUGGGUUUCUUUAGCAGUCUUUUACUGUCCGACCUUGUUAGAGAUUGAAAGGAAUGUCAGGGCUUAUGGUGUGCGGCUGUUUUCUCCGUCCUGUAGACCUUGUGGAUAGAGAGAGACGCUUGGAUUUUCUGAAGUUGAUCAUGCUGCUCUCAUCUUUUGUGGGAUGGAGCAACCUUCCUAGCGCCUUUGUGAUCUUUAGCAAUCUUUUACUGUCUGACCUUGUUAGAGAUUGAAAGGUGACACUUGUAAUGGUCUUUUGAAUUUCAUUAUUUUUUUUCUAAUUUUUGGUAUUUUCCUCGUCGUUAAUGAUUUUUCUUCAACUUUCGUAGCUUGUAAACCUUGUUCUCCGUUUCUCCAUUUUAAUAAAAUUGUCUUCUAUCUGAAAGAAAAA